CAGCAGCCACGGUAAUACGAAGGGGGCUAGCGUUGCUCGGAAUGACUGGGCGUAAAGGGCGCGUAGGCGGCUGUUACAGUCAGACGUGAAAUUCCUGGGCUCAACCUGGGGGCUGCGUUUGAUACGUGAUGGCUUGAGUUCGGAAGAGGGUCGUGGAAUUCCCAGUGUAGCAGUGAAAUGCGUAGAGAUCGGAAGGAACAUCUGUGGCGAAGGCGACUAUCUGGGCCAACACUGACACUGAGGCACGAAAGCGUGGGGAGCAAACAGGAUUAGAUACCCCGGUAGUCCCUGUCUCUUAUAC
This 301-nucleotide ribosomal RNA is filed under the name uncultured bacterium. Its description in RNAcentral is "partial 16S ribosomal RNA". It matches the Rfam family "Bacterial small subunit ribosomal RNA", at positions 509 to 807 of the family's 1533-position model. The record is from RNAcentral.